GCACUGCUGACGAGUCCCGAACAAGACGAAACAGCUGUCCAGUGC
Molecule: non-coding RNA, 45 nt
Organism: Echinostoma caproni
Lineage: Eukaryota; Metazoa; Platyhelminthes; Trematoda; Plagiorchiida; Echinostomatidae
Source: Rfam